RNAcentral lists this ribosomal RNA (425 nucleotides) under uncultured bacterium. RNAcentral's name for it is "bacterial SSU rRNA". It matches the Rfam family "Bacterial small subunit ribosomal RNA", at positions 355 to 771 of the family's 1533-position model. The record is from RNAcentral.
UCGAGAGGCUUCGGCAAUGGGGGAAACCCUGACCGAGCGACGCCGCGUGAAGGAUGAAGGCCCUUGGGUUGUAAACUUCUUUUGUUGGGGAAGAAAUGCGAUCAGGUAAACAAUCUGGUCGUUUGACGGUACCCGACGAAUAAGCUCCGGCUAACUCCGUGCCAGCAGCCGCGGUAACACGGGGGGAGCAAGCGUUGUUCGGAAUCACUGGGCGUAAAGGGCGUGUAGGCGGCCCGAUUAGUGGGAUGUGAAAUGCCCCGGCUCACCCGGGGACCUGCAUCCCAAACUGUCGGGCUUGAGUAUGGGAGAGGAUGAGGGAAUUCCUGGUGUAGCGGUGAAAUGCGUAGAUAUCAGGAGGAACACCGGUGGCGAAGGCGCUCAUCUGGCCCAAUACUGACGCUGAGGCGCGAAAGCUGGGGAAGCAA